UUGCUUCGGCAGCACAUAUAUUAAAAUAGGAAUGAUACAGAGAAGAUUAGCAUGGCCCCUGUGCAAGGAUGACAAGCAAAUUCAUGAAGCGUUCCAUGAUUUU
This 103-nucleotide small nuclear RNA is filed under the name Prolemur simus (greater bamboo lemur). Lineage: Eukaryota; Metazoa; Chordata; Mammalia; Primates; Lemuridae. The record is from RNAcentral.